GGAAGGCCACUUCGGUGGUACUCGAGCGGCGAACGGGUGAGUAACACGUGAGUAAUCUGCCCUUGGCUUCGGGAUAGCCACCGGAAACGGUGAUUAAUACCGGAUAUGACCACUUCUCGCAUGGGGUGUGGUGGAAAGUUUUUUCGGCCAGGGAUGUGCUCGCGGCCUAUCAGCUUGAUGGUGAGGUAAUGGCUCACCAUGGCUUCGACGGGUAGCCGGCCUGAGAGGGUGACCGGUCACACUGGGACUGAGACACGGCCCAGACUCCUACGGGAGGCAGCAGUGGGGAAUAUUGGACAAUGGGCGGAAGCCUGAUCCAGCAACGCCGCGUGAGGGAUGACGGCCUUCGGGUUGUAAACCUCUUUCGCCUGUGACGAAGCGCAAGUGACGGUAACAGGUAAAGAAGCACCGGCCAACUACGUGCCAGCAGCCGCGGUAAUACGUAGGGUGCGAGCGUUGUCCGGAAUUAUUGGGCGUAAAGGGCUCGUAGGCGGUUUGUCGCGUCGGGAGUGAAAACCAGGUGCUUAACACCUGGCUUGCUUUCGAUACGGGCAGACUAGAGGUAUUCAGGGGAGAACGGAAUUCCUGGUGUAGCGGUGAAAUGCGCAGAUAUCAGGAGGAACACCGGUGGCGAAGGCGGUUCUCUGGGAAUGACCUGACGCUGAGGAGCGAAAGUGUGGGGAGCGAACAGGAUUAGAUACCCUGGUAGUCCACACCGUAAACGUUGGGCGCUAGGUGUGGGGUCCAUUCCACGGAUUCCGUGCCGCAGCUAACGCAUU
Molecule: ribosomal RNA, 779 nt
Filed under: Nocardioides sp.
Lineage: Bacteria; Bacillati; Actinomycetota; Actinomycetes; Propionibacteriales; Nocardioidaceae
Description: bacterial SSU rRNA
Rfam family: Bacterial small subunit ribosomal RNA
Source: RNAcentral